Molecule: ribosomal RNA, 253 nt
Filed under: uncultured bacterium
Lineage: Bacteria
Description: partial 16S ribosomal RNA
Rfam family: Bacterial small subunit ribosomal RNA
Source: RNAcentral
UACGUAGGGUGCAAGCGUUGUCCGGAAUUAUUGGGCGUAAAGAGCUCGUAGGCGGUCUGUCACGUCGGCUGUGAAAUCCCGAGGCUCAACCUCGGGCCUGCAGUGGGUACGGGCAGACUAGAGUGCGGUAGGGGAGAUUGGAAUUCCUGGUGUAGCGGUGGAAUGCGCAGAUAUCAGGAGGAACACCGAUGGCGAAGGCAGAUCUCUGGGCCGUAACUGACGCUGAGGAGCGAAAGCAUGGGGAGCGAACAGG